RNAcentral lists this non-coding RNA (30 nucleotides) under Mus musculus (house mouse). The record is from RNAcentral. Lineage: Eukaryota; Metazoa; Chordata; Mammalia; Rodentia; Muridae.
UGGCCACCAAGUAGACAGCAAAGGCACUGU